This 631-nucleotide ribosomal RNA is filed under the name uncultured Bacteroidales bacterium. Its description in RNAcentral is "bacterial SSU rRNA". It matches the Rfam family "Bacterial small subunit ribosomal RNA", at positions 86 to 715 of the family's 1533-position model. The record is from RNAcentral. Lineage: Bacteria; Pseudomonadati; Bacteroidota; Bacteroidia; Bacteroidales.
UGGUGGCGACCGGCGCACGGGUGAGUAACGCGUAUGCAACCCCCCUAUCAGAGGGGAAUAACCCGGCGAAAGUCGGACUAAUCCCGCAUAAAACAGGGACACCGCAUGGUGAUAUUUGUUAAAGAAAUUCGCUGAUAGAUGGGCAUGCGUUCCAUUAGGUAGUUGGUGAGGUAACGGCUCACCAAGCCGACGAUGGAUAGGGGAACUGAGAGGUUGGUCCCCCACACUGGUACUGAGACACGGACCAGACUCCUACGGGAGGCAGCAGUGAGGAAUAUUGGUCAAUGGGCGAGAGCCUGAACCAGCCAAGUCGCGUGAAGGAAGAAGGAUCUAUGGUUCGUAAACUUCUUUUGCAGGGGAAUAAAGUGCAGGACGUGUCCUGUUUUGUAUGUACCCUGAGAAUAAGGAUCGGCUAACUCCGUGCCAGCAGCCGCGGUAAUACGGAGGAUCCGAGCGUUAUCCGGAUUUAUUGGGUUUAAAGGGUGCGUAGGUGGUUUGAUAAGUCAGCGGUGAAAGUUUGCAGCUUAACUGUAAAAAUGCCGUUGAAACUGUCGGACUUGAGUGUAAAUGAGGUAGGCGGAAUGCGUGGUGUAGCGGUGAAAUGCUUAGAUAUCACGAAGAACUCCGAUUG